This is a long non-coding RNA of Cynara cardunculus var. scolymus (artichoke), 398 nucleotides long. RefSeq lists it as uncharacterized. The transcript is spliced from 3 exons. Lineage: Eukaryota; Viridiplantae; Streptophyta; Magnoliopsida; Asterales; Asteraceae. The record is from RefSeq and is a predicted model, not a curated record.
GUCGUCGUGGUCGUGAAGGGCAGAUGCGAAGGGGAUAAUCGUGCUGUGAAUCAAUCGCCAAUCGUGAAGGGUAGUAUCUAGGCCACUGAACUYAGACUUGGGUURCCUGGAUUUAGCAAGAAUUCUGAAKAAAAUGCCACCAAAAUUGGGCAUACCAAGAACUUGAUGUCAGGAGCUAAAAGAGGGUUUUCUGAUGUUAACAUUAAUGGUUCUGGAAAAUGGGUUUUGAGUGGUGGAUCUGAAGCUGAUUUGGGUUUUGAGAAGAAGAAAGGCUCUGUUAAAGAAARUGGCACUUCUYCUCUUUCUGCUAACAGGUCCAAGGUCUCUUUUGUAGAGCAAGAGCAGAAAGUAGCAGCAACAAGAUCUGCAACCUAACAGCAAAAGGGUUUGUGGGUUGC